GACGAACGCUGGCGGCGUGCUUAACACAUGCAAGUCGAACGGUAAGGCCCUUCGGGGUACACGAGUGGCGAACGGGUGAGUAACACGUGGGUGAUCUGCCCUGCACUUCGGGAUAAGCCUGGGAAACUGGGUCUAAUACCGGAUAGGACCAUUGCCUGCAUGGGUGGUGGUGGAAAGCUUUUGCGGUGUGGGAUGGGCCCGCGGCCUAUCAGCUUGUUGGUGGGGUGAUGGCCUACCAAGGCGACGACGGGUAGCCGGCCUGAGAGGGUGACCGGCCACACUGGGACUGAGAUACGGCCCAGACUCCUACGGGGGGCAGCAGUGGGGAAUAUUGCACAAUGGGCGCAAGCCUGAUGCAGCGACGCCGCGUGAGGGAUGACGGCCUUCGGGUUGUAAACCUCUUUCAGCACCGACGAAGCGCAAGUGACGGUAGGUGCAGAAGAAGGACCGGCCAACUACGUGCCAGCAGCCGCGGUAA
This 478-nucleotide ribosomal RNA is filed under the name uncultured bacterium. RNAcentral's name for it is "partial 16S ribosomal RNA". It matches the Rfam family "Bacterial small subunit ribosomal RNA", at positions 28 to 523 of the family's 1533-position model. The record is from RNAcentral.